AAUAAUCGCUCAUAAAAUAUUUUUUUCUUCAAUAUUUUUAGAAUUCAAAAAGUGAAGAUGAAGCUGAAUAUUAUCCUAGUGACAGUUUUCUUCCUGUUCUUUAGUUCAGCCCUGGCUAAAAAGUAUUUGAUUGAAACCAUAGAUGAGGACCUCCCUGCAGCUACCAACCGACGCCAAGUUAAUUACAAAGUUGCGAAUGAAACUGCUCCUCCUCCUGCGGGAUCUGACUACUCGUGGUAUUAACGGUUCUGUCGAAAUUUCA
Eurytemora carolleeae is the source of this 262-nucleotide long non-coding RNA. RefSeq lists it as uncharacterized. The transcript is spliced from 3 exons. The record is from RefSeq and is a predicted model, not a curated record. Lineage: Eukaryota; Metazoa; Arthropoda; Copepoda; Calanoida; Temoridae.